CUCAGUGAGCCAGCCAGGAGUGUCACAGCUCUUUCAUUCAUGCCACCUGCAGCUUGGUGAGUUCCAGGUUCUUGUCCCGUGACCAAGAGGAAUAAGAUGCAUGGACACCAGAAAGUGUUCUUGGAAAAAGCACCAUUCAAUUGGUUAAAAAGCAUCAUCUAGAAGGAACCAAUUGCGAGACAGUGAGGAAGACAGAGAUAGAAGUUCUCACUCCAGUAAUUAACUCCAUCUGGAAGCAUCAGCUUGGUUUUCAGGCUUUAAACAGUUUUUGGUUUGAAGGUUGGGUAUCAAUGGAGACCUGCUUCUGUCUGCCUAGGAAUUUGUCUGUCUCCUGUCACUAUCACAAUAAGACAGGCUUGAUCUUGGCUAGGGUACACUUUUCCCUGGACAGGGUUUGAGUGGGAACUCGAUUGGGAAUGUUGAUCUUUGCAUGCCAUGCCCCCAACAAUUCUUAAUGACAUCUGCCUUUACCAUUUCUCCUGCUGUUAAGUAGUUAUAUCUCUUCACAAACCACGGGCCUCAGCUACUGGGGCCAGCAGUGAGCACUUGACCCCAAACAACUGAUCCCCAGGCUGAUGAGACCAUCUAAUGACCACUGUGGGUUCUGGUUCAAAAUGAUGAGUUUAAAAAAUAGUUUUCUCUCUUAGAAUUUUGAAUGGGAGUAGGAAUAGUGGCAGUAUGCUGAAAUUGAAGCACUACACUUGUUCAAGGUAAGCAAUAAGGGUAAAAAGGAGAGGUUGUGUUGCCUAGUGCAGCAAGGAGAAGGAAGUCAGUCCACAAAGAAAAGCAAUGUAAAAGAGACAUCCUCCUAAUUAAGUUUAAAAAAAAAAAUUUCCUCUAAGACCAUUUAGGUGACUUUCUAUGUUUCACCAUUUAUAUCCAAGUCAAAGAAACACUGUUGAAAUGUCCCCGAUGAAUUUUGUUUUUCUAUUUUUUAUUGCUUACGAAUGCAUGUUUGUGAUAGACACAUUAUCUUUAUAUGUUAACAUCAAGUUUUCUUCCAACUCAGUUAUCCUUUCUUUCUCAACAAAACUUGGCAUUAUUUUAUCACAGGUUUAAUUUACGAGAUAACUUGAAGGGCAACCGAGUUUCUCUUAUUUCCAUGUUCCUCAGUGACUGUAUCUCAUAGUCUUCUCUCAAUUUGCCUAUAGGAUAUAUUUAAAGUUACCAAUGCUUCAAUAUUUAUUUGUUCAUUUGUAACUUAGCAUUUACUUUAAGUACAGUUUGAUACAAUACUUAACUUUAAACCAGAAAUGCAUUUAAACAAUCUAUAUUUUGAAAAUAAUUUUAUCUCCUUUUUUUUUUUUGGAGACAGAGUCUUGGUCUGUUACCCAGGCUGGAGUACAGUGGUGCAAUCUCAGCUCACUGCAACCUUUACCUCCUGGGUUCAAGCGAUUCUCCUGCCUCAGCCUCCCAAGUAGUUGGGAUUACAGGCAUAUGUCUGCUAAUUUUUUUUUUUAUUUUAUUUUAGUAGAGAUGGUGUUUAGUAGAGAUGGCCUCCUGGCCUCAAGUGAUGCACCCCCUUUAGCCUCCCAAAGUGCUGGGAUUACAGGCAUGAGCAACUUCACCUGGCUUCAUAAUUUAUUCUUAUGUAAUUUAUACGUUUUGUACUUACAUGAACUUUUAAACUUUUAACAACAUUUCAAUAUUUAAUAUGCUAUGAAAGUUAAAAUUUAAAAAAAUCAAAAUGCAUCCAUGCAGUUUAUCAGAUGUAAAUAUAGGAACUUGAAAAUGCAGUUAAUGCUUUUACAGAUUAUAAUCAAUUGUUGUUUUACCAGUUACUUUUAAUUUUAUAAAAUUUAAAGCUCAUGAAAGCCUAACAACAUAUAUUUGUCACAAAGUAGUUUUACUUAUUUUUCAAAGAAAUAGUAUGAAUGCAGAAAUGGAUUUCACUACAAAAGUGUCAAAUUUUUUUUCAGUAAUUGGAGUCAUAAGUCAUUUUUAGCCAUCUUACUCCCUUUGAAUUGGUGCUUUUAUGUUGCCUAAGAAUAUGUUGAUACAUUUUCAUUGCCUAAAUUUGGUUGAAGAAUGCUGCGUGUAUAAAGACAAGCUACCACCUGAAAUUCUCAGGUCAACAUUUAAAUUUAAAGGUCUUUUUUAUUGUUGGCUGUUGUGCUAAAUCUUAACCAUAUAGCAAAUCUGAAGUAGCAAUCCAAUCUAUAUUAAAAAACUAAAUAACACUUGAUAUGAUUUGGCUGUGUUGCCACCCAAAUCUUAUCUUGAAUUCUCAUGUAUUGUAGGAGGGACCCAGUGGGAGGUAAUUAAAUCAUGGGGGCAGGUUUUUCCCAUGCUGUUCUCAUGACGAAGUCUCACAAGAUCUGUGGGUUUUAAAAAUGGGACUUUCCCCUCACAAGCUCUCUCUCUGUUUGCCUGCUGCCAUCCAUGUAAGACGUGACUUGCUCUGCCUUGCCUUCCAUCAUGAUUGUGAGGACUCUCCAGCCACAUGCAACUCCACAGAAGAUUAAGAAUGAAGGAGGGGAGUAUGUGCAAAGAACCAUCAUACUUAAUUCCCACCUCUUCAAACUGCUAGAGCCACAGACAAUCCUGGAAUACCCCAAAAGAGAGGAGGAUUCCAUGCUGCUGCUCCGCCAUGCUUCACACCAAUCAAUAAGAAGUGUUUCCAGCUGUAUCUACGAAAUGUCUCUCCAGAAUCACUGACAAUUCGGUUCACAUCAUAUGGCAAUUAGAUAAUUUUCUGAUGACUUUUAACUUACCUCCUCUCUUUUGACUUCUCCCUACACCAUAUCAGUGUCCAAAGUGUUGCCAAAACCACUUCGAAAAUGCACAUCUGUUUCUGUCUCUCCCUUAUAUUAUGCCUUCAAAUCAUGACUUCUUAAAAUGAUAUAAGGAAUUUUUACAGUUGGGUAAAAAAUUAAGUUGGAGCCUCCUUUAUAAUUGUUCCUGUACAUUUGCCAUCCCUCCAGACUUAAAGAAUAAAUUGAAGAACUUUGUACAGAAUAUUGACUUUCCUGUUGAUGUGCCAUCAUUUAGUACAGGAGAAACAACUCAGUGUAUACCUAUCUGCAAACUUUUCUAAUGAUAAUUUGUGCCUAUAGUCCUAUACUGAUGUGAAGUGUGAAAAAAUAUAUACCAGGAGAAACAAAGGAGAAUGGCACCAUAUAAUUGGUAGAUUUUCAUCCCAUAGUUUAUUUUCGUAUUUGCCUGCAAGGUCUUUUUUCAUACACUAAAUCAAGCCCUGCCUGUUUUGAAAUCAUCAUCGACACCCCUUCAAAGCACAGUUAAGUACACCUUCUCUGGUUUCACAUGACAAUCUGAUUGCACUGGAUUACAGUCAAAACUUUUGUGUCUGUCUGUGCAAUUUCUGAUGUCCUUAAGGGCAGGGACAAUGUUUUUCCCAAUUUUGUAUUGCCAGUGCCUAGCACAAUCCCUGACUUUUUGUAGAUAGAACUUUUUUCCACCAAUUGUAUAAUUUAAUGAAUCACACAUAUAGACUCUAAUGAUUACAUGAAUAUUAUUAAUUGAUACUCAAUGUUUGUGGUCUAAUAUUAUUUUUCUUGAAAUAAAUUAAGAUAUAUUUAAUAUAAUAAAAUUAAAACUACAAAAUAAAACAAACAUUUAUAACUUGAAUUUAACAUGUCAUAAAUUUUUGCAGUAGCAGUAAUACAUAUUGAAAAAACACAUACCUUGGUAUAACAAAAUAUAAAAAUGAAAAACAAAACCAACCAAAAAACUGCUUAGUACAUUCAUAUACAAUAUUAAAUUGUACUCUAUGAAUACAUACUAAUGUUUAUGAAUUUAGUAAGUUUGCAAUACAUAGAAUUAUUUAUGUCAUUUUAUGCAGAAAAAAGGUAUUGUAUUGGCAUUGUUACACAUUAUAGGUGACAGGUAAUGAAGUAAAUUAUGUUCUAAAAUUAUAUUUUUGCAGAAGUUAUCAACAUCAUUAGGUUUUAUUAACUUAUUCUUGAAGUCUAUAAAAAUUGGCAAGUGGAUCACGAGGUCAGGAGUUCAAGACCAGCCUGGGCAAGAUGGUGAAACCCUGUCUCUACUAAAAAUACAAAAAAAAAUUAGCUGAGCAUGGUGGUGGGCACCUGUAAUCCCAGCUACUUGGGAGGCUGAGGCAGAGAAUUGCUUGAACCUGGGAGGCAGAGGUUGCAAUAAGCCGAGAUCAUGCUGCUGCACUCCAGCCUGGGUGACAGAGAGAGACUCCAUCCCCUACCCCCCCCACCCCCCCAAAAAUAGAGGUCUUUUAAUUUUUCAUCUGUGGGUUACUGUCCAAAACAAUGAACCAAAAGAAUUAUCCCUAAGUAAAUUACCCAUAAUUUCUCCACCUUUAAGUUGUAUUUUUUUCUGAAGAUAAUGGAAAUUAGAAGCUAAAGCGUGCAAACUAUUAAUGUUAGCAUAUGACAGUUGAAGGUGAACACAGAAGGCCUGUUAAGGUGUGCUCACUUCUUAAGGUUAAGACAUAAAGAGAAAACUUCUUACUACAUUAGAAUAUAGGAAGACACCUCUAUUCUGUGUCUUAUGUGAAGAAUAGAGUUAAGAAAGAUGCUGCUAUAAUAAAACAUAACAUUUUUACUUAAUAUUUAUAAACAACCACAUAGAAAAUAUAAUUCUCCAGGAAACAUAAAGUUUAUUUGAUAAACUCUUCAAUUAAAAAAGUGGUUGGGUCAUUUUAAUGGAUGGUCCCAUUGAACCAUGAUAUCUGAAUCGUCCAUCAUUAUUAUAGGUAUAUGAGUAUUAAUGGACCAGAUAACCCCAGUGUGGUAUUCAGGACAUCUUUAUCGUAAGUAUUGUUGAAAAUACUUCAACCUUUUUUAAAAAAAAAUCUAUUCAAAGUAUCUUCUGUUUCUCUAUGAAGAAUAUCCUUUAAUUUUUUUUCUGUGAAAAUAGCCUUUAUUUCAGAAAGGCACAAUGCAAAUUAAUGAAGCCCUAGGCUCACACAUAUCAAGAGUGUUUUAUUUUGUUGAAGUUACUCCUUGGCUUUCAUUGCUAGUAAUAAAAUUCCUUGGUAAGAGAGUCACACCUGUUUGUGAUAAGCAGUCUUGGAAUAUAACGAUGAGUGCUGGAGAAAUGUGAGCAAUGCGACAACAGUGUCUGUUAAAAUGUGCUUUUUCAUAGUUUAUUUUUAUCCAUUGUGUUGGGCAUUCAUUUGACUCUCUAAAACUCAUGUCCUUUAGUACUUUUAGAAUUCUCUUGAUUUUUAAAAUAAGGUAAUUUCUCCACUAUCUUUCAAAGCUUUACCUUUCAAGGAGCAAGAGUUUUAAUUUGGGAAAUUCUAUUUAUCAUUUUUCUUUCAUAGUAUAUAUACUUUAUGUUGUUUCAAAUAUUUUUGCCCAACCUAAUGUCAUGAAGAUUUUCUACAAUAUUUUAUUCUACAAGUUUUGCCGCUUUAUCUGUUAAGUUUUAAUCUAUAAUCUAUUUUGAGUUAAUUUUUAUACUUAAAUAUCAAAUUAUUUUUGGACUCCCUAUUUCAUUCCGUUAAUCUACAUCUUUUUUUUUUUUUUUUUUUUUUUUUUUUUGAGUCGGAGUCUCACUCUGUCGCCCAGGCUGGAGUGCAGUGGCGUGAUCUCGGUUUACUGCAAACUCCGCCUCCCAGGUUCCCGCCAUUCUCCUGCCUCAGCCUCCGGAGUAGCUGGGACUACAGACACCUGCCACGGCGCCGGCUAAUUUUGUGUGUGUGUGUGUGUGUGUGUGUAUUUUUCGUAGAGACGGGGUUUCACCGUGGUCUCCAUCUCCUGACAUCGUGAUCCGCCCGCCUCAGCCUCCCAAAGUGCUGGGAUUACAGGCGUAAGCCACGCGCCCGGCCCCGUUAAUCUACGUAUCUAUCUAUAUGCCAAAAAACGUACAGAGCUGAUUACUGUUGCUUUUCAGGAACUUUUAAAAUCAGAUACUGUAAGUCCUCUAACUUUGUACCUUUUGAAAAACAUUUAGCUAUUGUUGUCUUUGCCUUUCCACCUAAAUUUUUAAAUCAUGUGGUCAAUUUCUUCAAAAAAAGGCUUGUUACCAUUUUUAUUAGGAUUUCAUUGGAUCUAUAGACCAAUUUAUUAAGAAUUGUCAGACUAACAAUAAAAUUUUAAAAUUAGGUGUUGUAAAUCCUCCAACUUUGUACUUUUUCAAAAGUGUUUAGCUAUUAUUGUCUUUGCCAUCCAUACAGAUUUUUAAUUGAUAUUGGCAAUUUCUUCAGAAAAUGCUUGUGACAGCUUUAAUUGUGAUUUCUUUGUACUGACAGGACAAAUUUUGAGAAUUGUCAGACUAAUAAUGUUGACUCUUCAAAUGUAUGAACAAGGUACAUUCACUAGCUAAUUAAGUCUUCCUUUAUUUCCUUUGCAAUGAUUUGUAUCUUUCAGUGUACACAAAAAACAAAAUAUCCAAAUGCUUAGUUUUGUUGUUAAGGUAUGCUCUUUGACAAAAAGAGUAUUAUAUGAAAAACACUAAUCUAACAUUGUCAUCUCUGAUAAAACAUUUCUUAUGAAUAACAAUGUAUGAUUUCAAUUGUGAUAAAAAUAAUGGGUUCCAUAGGAAUCAUAGCAUAUUGUGUUCAAGUUAUAUAAAAUUACACCAUAGAAUUUAUAUUUUCAGAAGAGUUUUGAAUGACCAUUGUGGUGAUACAUGCUUUUUUUUUUCUUCUCCUAUGCCAUGUUUUGUAGUCAUUUUAUUCAAAAUAUAUACAUUUUCAUUUUUGAAGAGUGUUUACCUGGACUUCAUUAAAUAACCAGUGUAUAUUUCAUUUUAGGUAAGAUUUGUUUCAGUUGUAAUUAAGAUCCUUAGCCUCUAAUUCUAGUUGAAUUUUUCCCAUCAAUUCUUCUCAUUUAUUCACUACAAAGAAAUUGCUAUAGUACUUAAAGUAUCUAAUUAUACAGUUUUGCUCCCUUAUAAAUAAAUGAGAACAUAAUGAAUACAUUAGUAAUCAGUGGGUGGAUUCACAACAAUGUAAGAGGUAUAAAAUAUUUGUACAGCUUGACAGGUAGAAACAUUUCUCUACUAAUGGUUUAUGUAAAUUCAUUACUUAUAUACUUUUGAUGGGAUUCUAUAGUAUUCUCUUAUUUUAUGAUUUCUUAUUGUUAGUAUGUAGAAAUUCAAUUGUCUUUUCUGCAUUGACCUUGCAUCUUGCAAUCCUAAACAUUAUCUUCUUUGUUAGCUAGUAGCUUUUUUAUAUAUUUCAUAGAGUUUAUUGCAUAUGCAAUCAUGUCAUCUGUUAAUAAAGAUUUUUACUUCUUACUUUUUAAACAGUAUGAUUUUUUUCCCUACUACACUGGCUAAAACAUCCAGUAUAAUUUUAAAAAACAAGAGAUAAGAAUAAAUAUCCCUUUUUUCCUUUUUAUUAGUAAAAAGCAUUGGGCCUUGCCCUUGGAUAUUAUAUUAGCUAUAAGUUUUUUAAUAGAUACCCCAAAUCAAAUGGAGAAAAUCUAUUCUCACUUUUCUGAGAGUGGUUUCCUAUGAAUGAGUGCUGAAUUUUGUCAAAUAUUUUUUUCCACCUAUUAAAGUGAACACAUUAUUUAUCUCUUUUGUAAUUUUAAUGUGGUAAUUAAAAUUACUGAUUUUCUGACAAACCUUACAUUCUCAGGAUAAAUUCUACUGGGUCCAUGCUUUUUGAUUUGAUUUCCUAAUUUUUUAAAAAUAAUUGUGUGUCUACAUUCAUGAAGGUUAUCAAUCUGUCAUUCUUUCUUUAAAUAUCUUGUCUGAUUUUGGUAUUCAGGCAUUACCGAACUCAUAAAAUGAAUUAUGAAGUGUCCUUUAUUUUCUGAAAAAUUUUGUGCGUAAUUGUAAUUUUGGUUUGCCUCAAUGUUUGAUAGUGUUCAGAUGUGAAGACAAGCUAUGCACUUCCAAUUGAAUAAAUUUUGGUAUUGUCUAUCUUUCCAGAAUUUUUUUAUUCCAUCUAAGUUGCCAAACAUAUUAGAAUAAAGUUGCUUAUAAUAUUAUUUUAUUACUCUUUAAUGAACAUUGGAACUUAUAAAAAG
This 7919-nucleotide long non-coding RNA is filed under the name Homo sapiens (human). RNAcentral describes it as "HSALNT0045328". Lineage: Eukaryota; Metazoa; Chordata; Mammalia; Primates; Hominidae. The record is from RNAcentral.